This 1173-nucleotide ribosomal RNA is filed under the name Arthrobacter parietis. Its description in RNAcentral is "bacterial SSU rRNA". It matches the Rfam family "Bacterial small subunit ribosomal RNA", at positions 88 to 1275 of the family's 1533-position model. Lineage: Bacteria; Bacillati; Actinomycetota; Actinomycetes; Micrococcales; Micrococcaceae. The record is from RNAcentral.
GGGAUUAGUGGCGAACGGGUGAGUAACACGUGAGUAACCUGCCCUUGACUCUGGGAUAAGCCUGGGAAACUGGGUCUAAUACUGGAUAUGACUGACUAUCGCAUGGUGGUUGGUGGAAAGCUUUUGUGGUUUGGAUGGACUCGCGGCCUAUCAGCUUGUUGGUGGGGUAAUGGCCUACCAAGGCGACGACGGGUAGCCGGCCUGAGAGGGUGGACGGGCACACUGGGACUGAGACACGGCCCAGACUCCUACGGGAGGCAGCAGUGGGGAAUAUUGCACAAUGGGCGCAAGCCUGAUGCAGCGACGCCGCGUGAGGGAUGAAGGCCUUCGGGUUGUAAACCUCUUUCAGUAGGGAAGAAGCGAAAGUGACGGUACCUGCAGAAGAAGCGCCGGCUAACUACGUGCCAGCAGCCGCGGUAAUACGUAGGGCGCAAGCGUUAUCCGGAAUUAUUGGGCGUAAAGAGCUCGUAGGCGGUUUGUCGCGUCUGCCGUGAAAGUCCGGGGCUUAACUCCGGAUCUGCGGUGGGUACGGGCAGACUUGAGUGAUGUAGGGGAGACUGGAAUUCCUGGUGUAGCGGUGAAAUGCGCAGAUAUCAGGAGGAACACCGAUGGCGAAGGCAGGUCUCUGGGCAUUAACUGACGCUGAGGAGCGAAAGCAUGGGGAGCGAACAGGAUUAGAUACCCUGGUAGUCCAUGCCGUAAACGUUGGGCACUAGGUGUGGGGGACAUUCCACGUUUUCCGCGCCGUAGCUAACGCAUUAAGUGCCCCGCCUGGGGAGUACGGCCGCAAGGCUAAAACUCAAAGGAAUUGACGGGGGCCCGCACAAGCGGCGGAGCAUGCGGAUUAAUUCGAUGCAACGCGAAGAACCUUACCAAGGCUUGACAUGAACCGGAACGGCGCAGAGAUGUGUYGGCCACUUGUGGCCGGUUUACAGGUGGUGCAUGGGUGUCGUCAGCUCGUGUCGUGAGAUGUUGGGUUAAGUYCCGCAACGAGCGCAACCCUUGUUCCAUGUUGCCAGCGGGUUAUGCCGGGGACUCAUGGGAGACUGCCGGGGUCAACUCGGAGGAAGGUGGGGACGACGUCAAAUCAUCAUGCCCCUUAUGUCUUGGGCUUCACGCAUGCUACAAUGGCCGGUACAAAGGGUUGCGAUGCUGUGAGGUGGAGCUAAUCCC